This 98-nucleotide microRNA precursor is filed under the name Manihot esculenta (cassava). RNAcentral describes it as "MIR394 microRNA precursor family". It matches the Rfam family "MIR394 microRNA precursor family". Lineage: Eukaryota; Viridiplantae; Streptophyta; Magnoliopsida; Malpighiales; Euphorbiaceae. The record is from Rfam by way of RNAcentral.
CUUACAGAGUUUAUUGGCAUUCUGUCCACCUCCCAUCUAUGGAAAUCUUCUCUUUUUCUUUUGUGGAGGUGGGCAUACUGUCAAGUGAGCUCUGUUGG